UUCAGGGAGACCUGCUUCAUCUAGACCGACCCAAAGUUAUUAGGUCAGAUGCAAGUCAUCCCAGGUCGUGCGAGGAAUAUACUGGGGUCAAAGGCUUUCUAACUCUACUUCUGUUCGGGAUAAGGGCUAUUAGCUCAGGUGGUUAGAGCGCACCCCUGAUAAGGGUGAGGUCCCUGGUUCGAGUCCAGGAUGGCCCACCUUAAGCAAAAGUCUUGAGGGGGUAUAGCUCAGUUGGUAGAGCGCUGCCUUUGCAAGGCAGAUGUCAGCGGUUCGAGUCCGCUUACCUCCACUUGACCAGCUUUAGUUCUGGGAAAAAAAACAAAAAAAACUUUGUCAUCUUCACACAGUUUCAAACAGUUGUGAUAGAGUAGAGAAAGUCGGGUAAAGAAGCCAGCAACUGAAAGGAAAACUUUCCAUCAGACUGCUGGGAAUCUUACCAGCCAGUACCUUGAAAACUGCAUAGCAACAAGUCAGCAGAAGUCAGUAAGAGGUAGGCGUCACAAGUGGGCGUUGAGUAUCUUGCAGACAAAAUGAAUGAAUUGU
RNAcentral lists this transfer RNA (543 nucleotides) under coccoid cyanobacterium CMT-3FBIN-NPC3. RNAcentral describes it as "16S-23S ribosomal RNA intergenic spacer". The stretch from base 217 to 289 matches the Rfam family "tRNA". The record is from RNAcentral. Lineage: Bacteria; Bacillati; Cyanobacteriota.